AAUACGGAGGGUGCAAACGUUGCUCGGAAUCAUUGGGCGUAAAGCGCACGUAGGCGGACCGCUAAGUCGGAUGUGAAAGCCCUCGGCUUAACCGAGGAAGUGCAUUCGAAACUGACAGUCUUGAGUAUGGAAGAGGGUCGCGGAAUUCCCGGUGUAGAGGUGAAAUUCGUAGAUAUCGGGAGGAACACCAGUGGCGAAGGCGGCGACCUGGGCCAAUACUGACGCUGAGGUGCGAAAGCGUGGGGAGCAAACAG
Molecule: ribosomal RNA, 254 nt
Filed under: uncultured prokaryote
Description: partial 16S ribosomal RNA
Rfam family: Bacterial small subunit ribosomal RNA
Source: RNAcentral